CGACAUUUGUGGUUUGAAUUGGAUUGGAAAUGGUGAUCCAAAGUGGAUAUGAUUGAGGAUUGUAGCUCCAAUAAGCUUAGGAAUCUAGGGUUUCGAGGUGAGGGAUAUGGAUGUGGAUUCAACGAUGUCAUCCGAAUCCGAUCACGAUCAGGAUAAAGGCGUGGCACCGGAGCAGCUAAACGGCCAGUCAUCAGCCGGGGGAUCUCUGCCGGAGACUCCUAAGGAUGAGCAACAGCCAGCAACUUCUCAGCAGCAGCAAGGCAGUACUCUGGUUGCGGGGCCGAGGUGUGCUCCUACAUAUUCUGUGGUGCACGCAGUUAUGGAGAAGAAGGAGGAUGGUCCAGGGCCAAGGUGUGGGCAUACAUUAACGGCUGUACCGGCUGUUGGAGAGGAAGGUAGCCCCAAUUACAUUGGUCCUAGGCUUAUUCUCUUUGGUGGGGCAACUGCUCUUGAAGGGAAUUCUGCUGGUUCAGGAACUCCUUCUUCUGCUGGAAGUGCUGGAAUUCGUUUAGCUGGGGCUACUGCUGAUGUGCACUGCUAUGAUGUUUUGACAAAUAAAUGGUCUCGGAUUACCCCAAUAGGAGAGCCACCCACACCACGGGCUGCUCAUGUUGCUACUGCAGUUGGAACUAUGGUUGUUAUUCAGG
This 647-nucleotide unclassified non-coding RNA is filed under the name Hevea brasiliensis (rubber tree). The record is from RNAcentral. Lineage: Eukaryota; Viridiplantae; Streptophyta; Magnoliopsida; Malpighiales; Euphorbiaceae.